This 253-nucleotide ribosomal RNA is filed under the name uncultured bacterium. Its description in RNAcentral is "partial 16S ribosomal RNA". It matches the Rfam family "Bacterial small subunit ribosomal RNA", at positions 524 to 776 of the family's 1533-position model. The record is from RNAcentral.
UACGUAGGGGGCUAGCGUUGUCCGGAUUUAUUGGGCGUAAAGAGCGUGUAGGCGGCCAGGUAGGUCUGCUGUGAAAACUCGAGGCUCAACCUCGAGACGUCGGCGGAAACCAUCUGGCUAGAGUCCGGAAGAGGCGAGUGGAAUUCCUGGUGUAGCGGUGGAAUGCGCAGAUAUCAGGAGGAACACCAAUAGCGAAGGCAGCUCGCUGGGACGUUACUGACACUGAGGCGCGAAAGCGUGGGGAGCGAACAGG